CGCUAUCAUCAUUAACUUUAUUUAUUACCGUCAUUCAGAUCUGAAUGUUCGUUUUACCCCUAUUACCGCCGGAUGCUCGCAUCCGGCAUUUUUU
Molecule: non-coding RNA, 94 nt
Organism: Cronobacter sakazakii ATCC BAA-894
Lineage: Bacteria; Pseudomonadati; Pseudomonadota; Gammaproteobacteria; Enterobacterales; Enterobacteriaceae
Rfam family: MicF RNA
About the family: The micF gene is a stress response gene found in Escherichia coli and related bacteria that post-transcriptionally controls expression of the outer membrane porin gene ompF.
Source: Rfam